Molecule: long non-coding RNA, 2733 nt
Organism: Magallana angulata
Lineage: Eukaryota; Metazoa; Mollusca; Bivalvia; Ostreida; Ostreidae
Exons: 5
Source: RefSeq, a predicted model, not a curated record
UAUAGACCAAACCACACUUUACAAACGAUAUGUCCCUUGGCCGCCAUCUUUGGGGAAAAACCCAUAUAAUUCUCACAGUAGCCUUUGUAGUUUAGAGGGUUGUAACUUCGUCAUUUGACAUUAGAAAUCAGUUUCCGCUGAGAAUUUGGAUUGCCCCAAGUUGGGGCAACCCACACAUCGAAGGAAUAAAUUAAAUUCCGAGAGAUUUCUUCACAGGGCGCCCAAAUAUUUGGUUGCAUAAAGAAGGGAAAAGUUGUGUUUUUCCCUUUUGACUUUUGGGUUGACCCCGCAAAGGGGGACAACUUUUGCAAAGUGUGGAUUGGACUAUUUGAAAAAAACAGUUGCUGCAAGUGAUGUUAUUUUCGUAGAGAAUUUUUUUGGGACCAAGCCAUUAAAAGUACCAUAAUGCAUUGAUGAGGGCAACCUUUUUUUUAUUUUCACAUUGGUAGUAAUUUUAUAUAUAGAUAUAUAGUUAUUUUGUAGAGGCAGUUUGGCUAUUUUCCUGAACAGAGAAGUGUUGACAUGUACGUCUAGACAUAUUGACAAUCUCUUCCCAACGCAUGAGUUUAUCGAGAACAAAUAUGUUGAAGGAAAGAAAAAGGGAUGCAUUAUGACUGCAGUAUGCUGCUUCAUCUUCUUCCUAAAACUUCUUUAAACGCGAAAAAUGGGGUGGGGGGGGGGGGUUGUAGUGACUUAAUGUGAAAACAUUUCCCUGAUCAAUUGAGGUAUCUAUAUGUGUGCAUUUUUUUAAAAUUCCUAAAUGUACUGUAUUUAAUAUAAAUAUUGCUCAGGUUCAGACUUCCCCAAAUAUAUCUCGUGUAUUUAAGCCACUCCAUCAAACAUAUACACACAUGACACAACACCCCUAUACACGUGCAGCUGCCCCGCCAGACGGGGACAGUUUUCGGGAAAGAUCAAAGGAGGCGCUGGGUCCUGGGUGACUCGACUUUUAGAAAGGGGUGAGGGGGUGGAUUAACGAAACUGCAACGUUUGUAUCUUUUAUAAAUAAAAUAAAUUGUUUUUCCUUAAGAAUUAUUUUAAUUUAACGACUAUGUCAACUGCGAAAUGAUCUACUUGGUUUUAAUACAUACUUUCAAACCUGUGUGUCUCUUUACCCAUAUAGAUACUUCUACUGGUCAGUGAGAAGUUCCAUUUAUGGGAAUUGAUUUUAAUCAACUCUCCUAUGCAGUUACUCUGGCAAACCGAAAGUUAAACAGUGUUUGGACCUAAGCACAGAUCAUUACCGCUGACAAGACUUAGUUCUCGGAAAUAAUCGAUAAAUUUGCUGUAAUGAAUUCUUAAGCAUUGUUUUUCAAGGAAACCUACUCAUUGAUACCUUGAAAAUAGUCAGAUUGUCAAUGGUAGAAAACAAUUUAGACAUUUUUUUAGUAGCACAUGUAUGUAUUCCUACGCUAGAGUUUACAAUAGUAUCGUUCAACCAGACGUAAAUAUUCGACAAGCAGAGAAUUUCCCUAUCGGAGAUUAACGGAGACAGCCGAACGUCUGGUUGAACUAGAGUUUAAUAUUGCUUGGAUCCUUACAAUUUUUCUGAAAUAUUUCGAUUACUGAUACGUUCGUUGAUGGAAUUCUUAGUAUCUCUAAAUAUUUUUUAUACACAUGAUUCAUAUGGGGUUUUCUCGAAAUCCUUUUUGAGAGUCCGAGUUAUUAUAAAAAAUGUGCGUUAAUUAAAUAUAUAUAAGAAACCACUUACCAUGCAAAAAUACAUUAUCGUUGAUUCUAAAAUAAAUAAUAAUCGAUAAAAUUGAAUCACGGUAAACGCCUGGACGACGGUGCGGAUAGGGUCCCUCACAUGCCAGGUAGUUAUAUCUUUUAUUUAUUUAUCUUUUUAUCUAUGUCAUGAAAAAAAAACCAAUAAUUUUAAAUUCAAAAAAAUUGUCAGAUAAAUAUAUCGUAAAAUUUUUUAAUUUUAUCGAUAUUAUUAAAAAAAAAAAUAAAAGUAAAUAAAAUUGAAAUUUAUCUUUCUUUUUUUUUCAGAACGGCCAGCACAGCAGUGAGGUCACAAACAGUAUUACAACGACCAUGGAAAUAACAGUCAUUGCAUUAAACAAACCUUUGAUGUAUGUUAUCCUGGGAGGGACUGGUGUGGUGGUCUUGAUUUUUUCUGUGAUGAUUGUUUGUGCGAUCAAUAGAAGGUGUCUGAGGAGACGGGUGGACAUCGAGAUCGAGUCCCAGUCACCCGCCGAGUUUGACGCAGUUGUCAUGAGGGACUUUAAAAAUGAUUAACUUUCUUUAGUGAUAAUUCUGACGCUAUGUGUGAGGAGAAAAAUCCACGAUGUACCUAUUCAAGUUCGACCACCCCCAACACCAGUCAUGCCAGCUCCUCAACUAAGACCACUCCGCCGUUCAACAAGGCAGAGUCGCCAACCCAACAAACUGACUUAUUGAUUUCUCCAACCUCCUUUUACUAACGAUUAGACUAAAAAUGUUUGGUUUGAUGCCAGGCCGAUUAUAAUUCACCCAACCCCGAGAGCCCCUAUGUUUAGACGGGUAAGAAGGAGAAUAGAAUUUACAGAGACGGAGGAAGGUAAGCACUCCAUUUGAUUCACCGGCACGGAUGCAGGCGCCUGCAGACACGGUAAAUAUAUUUUAAAAUUCAUGAACAAAGAUAUAGAAAUCAAAACUAUAUAGUAGCAUACCUUGCAUGUCUGCUGGUGUCGUUGACAUUUGUUCUCAUCAAAAUAUUCAACGCUGCAGUUUUCAUAUUUAAAUAAU